Loxodonta africana (African savanna elephant) is the source of this 64-nucleotide non-coding RNA. The record is from Rfam. NCBI's taxonomy places the organism in Eukaryota, Metazoa, Chordata, Mammalia, Proboscidea, Elephantidae.
GGUGGUUCAGUGGUUAAGCACUCAGCUGUUAACUGAAAGGUCGGUGGUUCAAACCCACUAGCCA